UUAUGUGGUGGUGUCAUAGCAAUGCUGACCUGUGCUGUACAUGGGGAUCUUUUUUUCUUUUAUAUGAUGGAUGCUGUAACAGGUCAUUUUGUUCAACAGAAAUCACUGUCUGAUAACAUUAACAUCUUGAGCGAUCUCAUGAAAGUCACUGGCCAAGUGACUUUACACAGUGCCAAGCUGGUUGUCAAGCACAUUCAGGACAUAUCUGCCCUGUUUCCAAAAGAGUCUGUAUCUGGAGUUUUCCAUUCAUUGAAGAAGCAUGUUCUUCAUGCGUUUGUUACUGUUCUGUCUCAUAACUUAAAAGCCUUGCAUCAGUUCUCCAAGGAAGGCAUUCAUCUCACCUCGGACAUCCUUCACACAGUCACAGAUCUGUCACUGGUAAGGCUAACUGGCUCAAGAUUCUAAAAUCAGAUUCUAAACUCUGACAAAUCAAUAUGCCUAUGCUACAGAAUGUUCUAUUUUUUCAUUUUUUGUUUUAAAUCUCAAGCUAACAAGAGGAAUUGUACUCUAGACACAGAGAGAAAAAUAAUGGCAGACUAGCCCGUCUAACCUUUAGUAGCUCAGGAGGAAUAAUCCUUGCCCUUCCAUUUCCAGGUUAUGUGAAAGCAAAUUGAACAGGUUUAUUAGGUUAAUUCACAUUGAAUGUCAGGUCGACUGCUAUGAGUAUCUCUCAUAUCAUGGACUCCUUCGCUCAAUGCAGUCCAUGUGGAGUAGUGCUUUUCAUCUUUCAUCCUUCAUUGUAUUUCAUCCUUCAUCAUACCUAAUUGAAUCUUUUUGGAACACAGAAACACAUCACAUUAAGCAGAUCUUCUGAGUGCUUCCUGAAUACCAGCAUCCUGGAAGUAAAAACAUGGAGAUAUGGACAGUUCCCUACCAAUGGCUUCAGUAUAGGCCCAGUUGCAUUUAACCAUCCUGCGGGAAUGGACACUUUCAUCGGCAGUUUCAGGGGUGGAUCGAAACCCUGUGUAAUAUUUCAGCUCCGAUACUUUAAACUGAAUCCAUAUUACUGGGGCAAAACACCAGUGCAGCUGACCAGAGAUGUUGCUGACAUGAGCCUGUACAACUGCACCACCUGGAGGAAGAUAAGAGUACAGCACUUGGAGUCACCAUUGUCUAUUGAGUUCCAGAGAAAGCCA
This is a long non-coding RNA of Clupea harengus (Atlantic herring), 1136 nucleotides long. RefSeq lists it as uncharacterized. Lineage: Eukaryota; Metazoa; Chordata; Actinopteri; Clupeiformes; Clupeidae. The transcript is spliced from 3 exons. The record is from RefSeq and is a predicted model, not a curated record.